UUUAGUAAAAAGAAAAUUAACGAGCGAAGAUUAAGUCUAUUAAUGAGUACUUAGUCUCUGCCCUUCUAUGACUUCGUUAAUUACAUUUAACAACAGGUUGCAACACCGACACAUAUUUGUUACACUCAACACUAUGGCGAGAAAUAUUGCAAAAUUGGAUGAAAAUGUAUUGGGUGUCGGUUCAUCUUUAACUAAAUUUACUUAUGACUUGUACAAUACCCUUAAAACAUAUGAAGGCGAAGACAAAAAUAUAUUUGUAUCUCCUUACAGUAUUUUUGUUGCUUUAUCGAUGGUAUACGCUGGAGCCAGACAAAAUACUGCUUCACAGAUGGAAAAAACACUCCAGAUUGAUGGAUCAACAAAAACAGUGGUUCAUGAUGCCCAUAGAAAAUAUAUUAGCCUGUUGGAAGAAAUUAAAAAUUUUGACUUGCAUACUGCAAACCGUAUGUAUAUCAACAUUAAUUUUGAGCUACUUACUAAAUAUUUUGAAGAAAUCAAGAAGAUGUAUCAUUCUCUCAGUGAAAAUUUGGAUUUUGGCCAAGCACCGAAAGAUGCUGCUAAGAAAAUUAAUAACUGGGUUCAAGAUAUUACAAAAGAUAAAAUCAAAGAUAUUAUUCCUGAUGGUUAUUUAAAUUCUGAUACUGCUCUUGUUUUAGUGAAUGCUAUAUAUUUUAAAGGAAACUGGGGCAAUAAAUUUAAUCCCAGUUUGACAAAAUCGGAAGAUUUUUUCAAAAGUUCAACAGAGAAAGUUCCAGUUGAUAUGAUGUUUAUAAAGAAAUCAUUCAGAUUGAGACAGGAUUCUAAACACGAUUGCCAGAUUCUAGAGUUACCUUAUGAAGGUUCUUGCCUGAGUAUGUAUAUAAUCCUACCAAACCAGAUUGAUGGCAUCGAAGCAUUACAUAAAAGUAUAUCGUCAGAUUUUCUUCAGUCCAUUAUAGAAAACCAGCAAUUUCACUCUGGGGAAGUUGAAGUAAAGCUACCAAAAUUCAAAAUGGAAUCUAGUUUUGAAUUAAAACAACAUCUGGUAUCUUUAGGAAUGGCAGACCUUUUUGACCAACAGAAAGCUGAUUUGUCAGGUAUUAGCAAUUGCCCUCUCUACGUCAGUGAAGUAUUUCAUAAAGCAUUUGUGGAGGUCAAUGAAGAAGGUACGGAAGCAGCAGCAGCAACAGCAGCAAUUGUCAUGACUCGGUGUGCAAUGGUGAGGAUGCCACCACUGAAAUUCAUUGCAAACCAUCCUUUUGUGUUCCUUAUUGUUGACAAAAGAUCACAAAUGAUUUUGUUCAUGGGAAAAUUAAAUAAGCCUUAAACUUAUUUUAUGUUCCAUGACAUUAGAAUUCUUUGCACAAUAUCCAACUAAACUGUAAUAUCAAAAUAUAUUCAAAUAUCUUCAAUAAUUUUCUUACGAUUAACAUUUAUGAAAUAUGGGAAUGGAAGGUGAGACUUUAUAAACUGUCACCAAAAUCUGUUAUACUAACAAGCUUAUUGCACUGCUCAGGUUUAUUUAUAUUAAGCUUAAUGCAUACACUGCCCAGGUAUGUUUAUAUUAACAAACCUCUUGUAUACACUGCCCAGUGUGUCAUUCCAUUGUUUUUAAGACCAUAAAGUUUGAUUUGAGAGAGAUUUGGCUGCUAUUUCCAGCUAAUUGAGGGACCAUGUAGUGGUUCUCUUGUUGGCUUGUACAGCUGAUUGUUAAUUGAAAUGGUAUUUACAAUAAAAAAAUGAAGACAUUUAAUUGGCAUAAUGAUCACCCUGUCACAUUUAUCUAGGGCCACAUUAUUCAGUGUGUCAUUCCUUUUUUUUUAAGACCAUAAAGUUUGAUUUGAGAGAGAUUUGGCUGCUAUUUCCAGCUAAUUGAGGGACCAUGUAGCAAUUCUCUUGUUGGCUUGUACAGCUGAUUGUUAAUUG
This is an RNA transcript of Octopus sinensis (East Asian common octopus), 1905 nucleotides long. It is a transcript of the gene named leukocyte elastase inhibitor-like, with no coding region annotated. The record is from RefSeq and is a predicted model, not a curated record. The transcript is spliced from 3 exons. Lineage: Eukaryota; Metazoa; Mollusca; Cephalopoda; Octopoda; Octopodidae.